AUCCUGGGGUCUGGACCCUUCUGGGUCCCAGGCACAGCUCAGGACCAGCCCCAAGCUGAGCUGCGCUUGCAGCUGGGACCCCAGCUUUUUGGGGGCUGUUCCUCCUGUGUCUGCCGGUCCCCAAAACCUGCCCCAUGGAGCACCAAUGCCAUCCACUGCCGGGCUCCGGCACGAGAAAAGGAGCUCCCUUCCCUCCUCCGCGGGGCUGAGCGCAGCUCUCGCACUAACAGCAACCUCGGGAUGCCCUUUAAUUUUUAAUGAUUCAAUAAAAUGGUAAUUACAAACACUGCAGUUUGAGUUUUUAAGUAGAAAGUAUUAACUUCCCAGGGUUUAAUUAUUCAACAGAAAUUAAUGAAAGCGGGGCUGGAUCCUGCUGGAUCCUGCUUUUCCUUCGCAGGGCCAGCAUCGCUCUCUUUGCGGGGACCAGGACUUCCAGCAGAGGAGGUGCAGGCACCUGGGUGCUGCAGGGGCUGAGCACCCUCCGGGGAGCCAGUGACCGCCCUGAUCCAAGCCAAAGCUGUAGGAGCGGCCCUAUAAAGCAUCCCCUCCUGAGCAGCGCCUGGCGGUGCAGGUGGAUGUCCGCAUGGAGCCAGCCUGCAGCGAAUGGCACCUGUGGGGUCUCGGGGAACCAGGUUUGCUGGAAAAGCAAGUUGUUGCUGUUAUUAAUAGUUAAUAACGUCAUUAAUAAGCAAACCUGUCGGCUCGAUUGCCUGCAACGAGGUGGUAGGAAAAUAGCACUGGUCAGGGCUCCCUGCAGGAUGGGAAUAUUUGCUCCUGGGGCUCGCUGGGCGAGGGGGUGGUGCUGAGCCCUGUAGGGACUGGUGCUCUGCUGAUGAGGUGCCUGGGGAGAGAGCAGGGCCUCAUCUGCAAGGGAAAUGAAAUUAUCACCGGCUCCGUCUGCCGUCAUCCUGCUCCGCAGAGCCCUAGGAGCUGUGUGGAGAGGGUCUCACAGGGUGUGGGUGCCCA
Molecule: long non-coding RNA, 966 nt
Filed under: Anser cygnoides (Swan goose)
Lineage: Eukaryota; Metazoa; Chordata; Aves; Anseriformes; Anatidae
Description: lncRNA (ENSACDG00005005422.1)
Source: RNAcentral